Molecule: long non-coding RNA, 288 nt
Filed under: Brachypodium distachyon (stiff brome)
Lineage: Eukaryota; Viridiplantae; Streptophyta; Magnoliopsida; Poales; Poaceae
Description: long non-coding RNA (BDIS_LNC000583)
Source: RNAcentral
UGCAGCAGCCCGGAAAGGCACUGCCCAAACCUCCACUGCAGCGGCCUUGUUGGGCCGCCGCCCUCGCGGCAGUGGGAGUAGACGAAGGAGGCCCUCCCAGUGUUCCCCCCUCUCUCUCUCUCUGUGUGUGUGUUUUCUUCUUUUUCUUCUAGAUCCAUCAUCGAUGGUGAGCCUCUAUCUUGUACUGACCAUGUACUCCGUAUUUGUUGUACCAUGACAAGGCUAGAUCUUGUUGUCUUGAUUUUGGAUUUUUCAGUUUUUUCUUUGAGUUAAGAGCACAGCCAAGAA